GAUGAAGCACGUAGCGAAAUGCGAUAAGUAAUGUGAAUUGCAGAAUUCAGUGAAUCAUCGAAUCUUUGAACGCACAUUGCGCCCCUUGGUAUUCCGAGGGGCAUGCCUGUUCGAGCGUCAUUAUAACCCCUCAAGCUCAGCUUGGUGUUGGGGCCUGCUGCACUGGCAGCCCUUAAAAUCAGUGGCGGCGCCAUCUGGCUCUAAGCGUAGUAAUUCUUCUCGCUAUGGAGUCCUGGUGGAUGCUUGCCAUCAACCCCCAAUUUUUCUAUGGUUGACCUCGGAUCAGGUAGGGAUACCCGCUGAACUUAAGCAUAUCAAUAAGCGGAGGA
This 329-nucleotide unclassified non-coding RNA is filed under the name soil metagenome. RNAcentral describes it as "partial contains 5.8S ribosomal RNA, internal transcribed spacer 2, and large subunit ribosomal RNA". The stretch from base 1 to 120 matches the Rfam family "5.8S ribosomal RNA", at positions 35 to 154 of the family's 154-position model. The record is from RNAcentral.